RNAcentral lists this ribosomal RNA (694 nucleotides) under uncultured bacterium. RNAcentral's name for it is "bacterial SSU rRNA". It matches the Rfam family "Bacterial small subunit ribosomal RNA", at positions 8 to 733 of the family's 1533-position model. The record is from RNAcentral.
AGAGUUUGAUCCUGGCUCAGAACGAACGCUGGCGGCGUGCUUAACACAUGCAAGUCGAACGGUUGAUACGGGUAACUGUAUUGGCCGUGGCAGACGGGUGAGGAAUAUAUGGGAACGUACCCUAGAGUUCAGGAUAAUCCUUGGAAACGAGGAAUAAUACUGGAUACGACUGGGAAGAGAAAGGCAUUUAUGUCGCUCUGGGAGCGGCCCAUAUCGGAUUAUGGCAGUUGGUGGGGUAAAGGCUUACCAAGCCUGUGAUCUGUAGCUGGUUUGAGAGGAUGAACAGCCACACUGGGACUGAGACACGGCCCAGACUCCUACGGGAGGCAGCAGUGGGGAAUAUUGGACAAUGGGGGAAACCCUGAUCCAGCGACGUCGCGUGGGUGAUGAAGGUCUUCGGAUUGUAAAGCCCUUUUGUAGGGGACGAUAGUGACGGUACCCUACGAAUAAGCUCCGGCCAACUUCGUGCCAGCAGCCGCGGUAAUACGAAGGGAGCAAGCGUUGUUCGGAAUGACUGGGCGUAAAGGGCGCGUAGGCGGAUAGAUACGUCGGGUGUGAAAUCCCUGGGCUUAACCCGGGAAUGGCACUGGAUACGGUUUAUCUAGAGUGUGUGAGGGGAAGACGGAAUUGCGAGUGGAGAGGUGAAAUUCGUAGAGAUUCGCAGGAACACCGGCGGCGAAGGCGGUCUUCUGGU